GACGAACGCUGGCGGCGUGCUUAACACAUGCCAGUCGAACGGUGAAGGGACCGGUUUUUGCUGGUUCUGGAUGAGUGGCGAACGGGUGAGUAACACGUGAGUAACCUGCCCCCUUCUUCUGGAUAACCGCAUGAAAGUGUGGCUAAUACGGGAUAUUCUGCGCCUGCUGUAUGGUGGGUGUGGGAAAGAUAUUGUUUCGGUGGGGGAUGGGCUCGCGGCCUAUCAGCUUGUUGGUGGGGUGAUGGCCUACCAAGGCGGUGACGGGUAGCCGGCCUGAGAGGGUGGACGGUCACACUGGGACUGAGACACGGCCCAGACUCCUACGGGAGGCAGCAGUGGGGAAUAUUGCACAAUGGGCGCAAGCCUGAUGCAGCGACGCCGCGUGAGGGAUGGAGGCCUUCGGGUUGUAAACCUCUUUCGCCAGUGAAGCAGGCCUGUCCCUUUUGUGGGUGGGUUGACGGUAGCUGGAUAAGAAGCGCCGGCUAACUACGUG
Molecule: ribosomal RNA, 493 nt
Filed under: uncultured bacterium
Lineage: Bacteria
Description: partial 16S ribosomal RNA
Rfam family: Bacterial small subunit ribosomal RNA
Source: RNAcentral